AUCCAGCUGACGAGUCCCAAACGUGACGAAACGAGCGUCUUGGAU
RNAcentral lists this non-coding RNA (45 nucleotides) under Schistosoma mattheei. Lineage: Eukaryota; Metazoa; Platyhelminthes; Trematoda; Strigeidida; Schistosomatidae. The record is from RNAcentral.